GGGCAAAAUAUAGUCUUCAUAUCAGCUGGGCGAAAUAAAGUCUUCAUAAUCAUUUGAAUUGCAAACUGCGUCGGAUAUUUUCAAUAAGAACUGCAUGGUUAAUUAAAGGUAUAAUACACUGACGAGAAUCUGACAUCGUGUAAAUAUAUCUGUUGCUAAAAUGUUUCUUAUUUGUCUUGUUUCUUUGUUGUUUUAUAAACAGAAUUUCAGAUUAUUUCUUUUUUCAUUUAACAUUGUUCAUAAAUUCUGUCUUAACAAAGUUUCUUUAAUUGUAGAUGGAGAGAAAGAUUGAUAUAUUAUUAUAGCUCGAGGUUAUUUUUCGUUGAUUUUCAUAAUUUUAUCUUUAUCACUUUGACGUUCCACCAGGAAGUUGCUGAUAUAGUUGGCUGAUAAUAAGUCCUUAAGGGCUCGUUCUGUAAGGGCGUCUUUCAUUGGUCAAUAUUGUGUGUUCAACCGUGAAUUUGUCAGUCCCGUUUUGCAUUCGUGGCAGAAACUGUAAGCUAACUGGCCAUUAUACUUUUGCUUGUAUUGUGUGCAGACGUGUUUUUGUUUUAGAAUUUAAUUAAAAUUCCACCGUAAUACGAGCGCUCAGAUAUAAUAAAAGGACAUAACAAUGGACAAAAAGAAUGAUUACACGUAUUCAAGUUAUUAUAAGACUCGUUUGACAAAGACUGUGUAUCCAUGUCAUCCGUCUCUAUGGACUGAUCAGAAUGCGAAGCACCUGAUUCCAUACGGGAUUCAUUAUCAAGGACCUCCCUAAAGGCAGAACUUGUAAAUUCUGACCCUCGGUCAUGAAUUAUCUGGAGAGGACAUCCAUAUCAAGAAUAUAUCUCAAUCAAAAAUUCUGGUGGUCGUGAAAAGAAAUCAGCAAUAACAUUUGCUUUUCCUGGAAGAUACUCUAUCUUACAGAUGUAACCACUAAUAGACAAUGCCCAUAACUGAAUUUUCUUGUUUUGCAUUGGACUUUUCAAUAAAACCUGGAGCGGAGAAUGGUCGCAUUUGAUUGUAAAUUCAGCAUUGUGUAAAAAGAAGUCUAAACGUUGCAAAGAAUAAAAGAUGGCGUACGCCUCCUUCUCAAUAGUGCUGUAUUUCUUUUGUGUUUCACUUAGUUUAUGAGACAGAAAAUAUAUAGGUCUUUCUUUAUUUUCAUCUGAUUCUGGUGAAUUAUAGGCUUGAGUUAAGCACGCUGCCACAUGACUAUCGCUGGUAUCUGUGUACAAUGUAUACGGCUUGUUUGGAUCUGGGUAGGAUAAGAAAGGAAUAGCUGUUAAUUGUUCUUUAAUUUUUUCAAAACUUUUCUGAUAUUCUUCUGUCCAAAUAAAUGGAGACUUUUUCCUUGUUAGGUUUAUAAGAGGUUCUGCUAUUUCUGAAAAUGAGGAGAUGAACCGACGAUAAAACGAGGAUGCCCCGAUUAUUUUUCGAACUUCACGCACAUUUUUUGGAACCGGAAGUUACCUAAUAGCUUUAACUUUAUCAGGAUUAGGUCUGAUGCCAUCUUCAUCUAUGACAAAACCUAAGUAUUUGGUUUUAGGCUGCAUGAAUUGACACUUUUUCAACUUAAGUUUGAUUUUAUGCUCUCUUAACCUUUGAAAAAUAUGUCUAAGUGGCGUUUAUGUUCUUCUGAUGUUUUACUAAAGAUGAAGCAAUCGUCCAAGUACGCGACAGCAAAAUCUAGACCCUCUAAGACUUUAGACAUUAGUUCCUGGAACACCCCAGAGACAUUAGCUAAUCCGAAGCACAUAACGUUAAAUUCGAAUAGACCCCUGAAUGUGGUAAAUGCAGUUUUUUCUUUAUCUUUUUCAUCAAUCGGUAUUUGCCAAAAUCCUGAGCGACAGUCUAGGGUAGUUCAGUAUUUUGAUUCACCUAAAAGAGCCAACAUAUCAUAGAUAUGAGGUAGAGGGUAUGCUGUGGGUCUCACCAGGUAAUUGAUCCUCCUAAAGUCUAUACAAAAUCUGGUACUGUUGUCGUUUUUCUUUUUAACCAGAACGACAGGACUUGCAUAGGGAUUUUGAUAAGGUCUUAUUACGUUAGCCUUAAGCAUUUCAUCUAUAGCGUCACUUAUAAUUUUCCUAUCAUUUAAUGGUACUCUACAUGGUCGCCGCUUUAUCGGUUCAUGUUCUAUAGUAGGAAUUUUCAUUGUAAUCGUCUGUGACAAUUCUGAGUCAUUAUUCGCAAAAACGUCCCUAUUUGUUUGAACUAAUUUUUCUACAUACUGAAAGUGUUCUUUUGGUGCUAUUAUUUCUUUUUGUAUUAAUACUUGACUUUUCACCCUUAUUGUUUGAUAAUUCAUUGACAUCAGAAACAGAGGCUAUACAUUUUUCAUCAAUUUGUUCAACA
Long non-coding RNA from Mercenaria mercenaria, 2337 nucleotides. RefSeq lists it as uncharacterized. Lineage: Eukaryota; Metazoa; Mollusca; Bivalvia; Venerida; Veneridae. The record is from RefSeq and is a predicted model, not a curated record. The transcript is spliced from 4 exons.